CAUGCAAGUCGAGCGGAUGACGGGAGCUUGCUCCCUGAUUUAGCGGCGGACGGGUGAGUAAUGCCUAGGAAUCUGCCUGGUAGUGGGGGAUAACGUUCCGAAAGGAACGCUAAUACCGCAUACGUCCUACGGGAGAAAGCAGGGGACCUUCGGGCCUUGCGCUAUCAGAUGAGCCUAGGUCGGAUUAGCUAGUUGGUGAGGUAAUGGCUCACCAAGGCGACGAUCCGUAACUGGUCUGAGAGGAUGAUCAGUCACACUGGAACUGAGACACGGUCCAGACUCCUACGGGAGGCAGCAGUGGGGAAUAUUGGACAAUGGGCGAAAGCCUGAUCCAGCCAUGCCGCGUGUGUGAAGAAGGUCUUCGGAUUGUAAAGCACUUUAAGUUGGGAGGAAGGGCAUUAACCUAAUACGUUAGUGUUUUGACGUUACCGACAGAAUAAGCACCGGCUAACUUCGUGCCAGCAGCCGCGGUAAUACGAAGGGUGCAAGCGUUAAUCGGAAUUACUGGGCGUAAAGCGCGCGUAGGUGGUUCGUUAAGUUGGAUGUGAAAGCCCCGGGCUCAACCUGGGAACUGCAUCCAAAACUGGCGAGCUAGAGUACGGUAGAGGGUGGUGGAACUUCCUGUGUAGCGGUGAAAUGCGUAGAUAUAGGAAGGAACACCAGUGGCGAAGGCGACCACCUGGACUGAUACUGACACUGAGGUGCGAAAGCGUGGGGAGCAAACAGGAUUAGAUACCCUGGUAGUCCACGCCGUAAACGAUGUCAACUAGACGUUGGUUCCUUGAGAACUUAGUGCGCAGCUAACGCAUUAGUGACGUCUGGGGAGUACGGUCGCAAGGUUAAAACUCAAAUGAAUUGA
This 859-nucleotide ribosomal RNA is filed under the name Ectopseudomonas alcaliphila. Its description in RNAcentral is "bacterial SSU rRNA". It matches the Rfam family "Bacterial small subunit ribosomal RNA", at positions 54 to 913 of the family's 1533-position model. The record is from RNAcentral. Lineage: Bacteria; Pseudomonadati; Pseudomonadota; Gammaproteobacteria; Pseudomonadales; Pseudomonadaceae.